GAAAUGCGAUAAGUAAUGUGAAUUGCAGAAUUCAGUGAAUCAUCGAAUCUUUGAACGCACAUUGCGCCCGCCAGUAUUCAGGCGGGCAUGCCUGUUCGAGCGUCAUUUCAACCAUCAAGCCCCGCGCUUGUGUUGGGGACCUGCGGCUGCCGCAGGCCCUGAAAACCAGUGGCGGGCUCGCUGUCACACCGGGCGUAGUAGAUUUUAUCUCGCUCAGGGCGUGCUGCGGGUUCCGGCCGUUAAAAAGCCUUUUUUACCCAAGGUUGACCUCGGAUCAGGUAGGAAGACCCGCUGAACUUAAGC
Molecule: unclassified non-coding RNA, 303 nt
Filed under: plant metagenome
Description: partial contains 5.8S ribosomal RNA, internal transcribed spacer 2, and large subunit ribosomal RNA
Rfam family: 5.8S ribosomal RNA (bases 1-105)
Source: RNAcentral